GAUGAACGCUGGCGGCGUGCCUAAUACAUGCAAGUCGAGCGAAAAGACGAGGAGCUUGCUCCUCUGACGUUAGCGGCGGACGGGAGAGUAACACGUGGAUAACCUACCUAUAAGACUGGGAUAACUUCGGGAAACCGGAGCUAAUACCGGAUAAUAUAUUGAACCGCAUGGUUCAAUAGUGAAAGACGGUUUUGCUGUCCCUUCUAGAUGGAUCCGCGCCGCAUUGGCUAGUUGGUAAGGUAACGGCUUACCAAGGCAACGAUGCGUAGCCGACCUGAGAGGGGGUAGGCCGACUCUGGGGCUGAGACACGGUCUUGACUCCUACAGGAGGCAGCGGUACGUACUGGUGGGCGAUGUGCGGAAGCCUGACGGAUCAGCGCCGCGCGAAUGAUGAAGGUCUGCGGAUCGUAUAACGCUCUUAUGGUGGAAGAACGAAUGUGUAAGUAACUAUGCUCGUCUUGACGGUACCUAAACAGAAAGCACCGGCUAACUACGUG
RNAcentral lists this ribosomal RNA (497 nucleotides) under uncultured bacterium. RNAcentral describes it as "partial 16S ribosomal RNA". It matches the Rfam family "Bacterial small subunit ribosomal RNA", at positions 28 to 507 of the family's 1533-position model. The record is from RNAcentral.